GGUGCUGUAGACCAAUUGGUUACGUUGACUCCACGGGAUGGAAGAGACGCGGGUUCGAACCCCGCCCGGGAUCU
Molecule: non-coding RNA, 74 nt
Organism: Acanthoscelides obtectus
Lineage: Eukaryota; Metazoa; Arthropoda; Insecta; Coleoptera; Chrysomelidae
Source: the annotation of a GenBank genome assembly